RNAcentral lists this small nuclear RNA (104 nucleotides) under Moschus moschiferus (Siberian musk deer). Lineage: Eukaryota; Metazoa; Chordata; Mammalia; Artiodactyla; Moschidae. The record is from RNAcentral.
GUGCUUGCUUCGGCAGCACACAGAGUAAAAUUGGAAUGAUACAGAGAUUAGCAUGGCCUCUCUGUAAGGAUGACACACAAGUUCAUGAAAAUUAACUAAAUGAU